GCUGCAGAGAGUCCAGAUGAGACUGAUGUUGGGGUCACUGUUAAACUGUCGCCACUGAUUGAGGACAACUCUCAACACAGUGGAAUGAAAAAUGUAGCCGACUGAGCAGAUGUCACAAAUAUGUUCCUGUUGUGGAUGGUCAUGAAAGACAAUGACUUUUGCAGGAGGCUUUAGAGAGUCUGGACAGCAGUGAUGUAGAGGCCACCCCUCAUCUGUCAACACGGCACGAGGAAGACGUUCCAAACAGUGAUGGCGGUUCCUCACCCACCUCUGAAAAGGUACAACACUUUGGAAUAUUUUACAGCACCAAAAAACUGAUAUGACAGCAGACAUGUGGGGUCAUUGGGAUGAAUGCAAUGUAUGUAGUGGGAGGAUGGAGUUUGGCCUUAAAACAGAAAAGGUCAUGAGGUCACCAAAGUUGACUAGAGUUCUUCCUCUGAGCAGCAUGAAUGUGCUCUCAAACCUUCAUGGCAAUCUGUCCAAUAAAUUGUUCAAGACAUCAAAUUCAAAAGGUGAACUAAUGGGAUCAAUUUAGGGAUUAUGAGUGCACUCAUCAAAUAUCCAUCCACUGUUCAGAUUUAGUCAUAGAUCUUGUGCAAGUGGAGCAUUUUGGCCACAUGGUGGAGUAAGAGGAGAAGUCAUGAGGUCACCCAAAAUUAAACGAGUUAAUUCUGUUGGCUGCAUGAAUGUGUUCACUAAGUGUCAGAUGAAUGUAAUCAGAUCAGUUAUCAAAUUAGAUUAUUUCAUUAUAGGGUGAUGUUAGAGAAAAGCUGAUGGUGACAAUUGAACUGAUGUGUUUCAUUCCCUGAGAAUCACAAGUAGACUCAGCAAAGUGAUCUGGCUGUUACAAUAGAGAUGUUUGUCCUGGAGGUGGCGCUAUGUAAAAGUUAAUACGGCCACCACAGUCGAGAGGUGUCUUCCUGUACGGACCAUGAAUGCACUAACUAGUGUCAUGGCAAUCAAAUAAUUACAUUUUGCUGGGCUGUACAUUAACUUUUUGUUAAAUGUCCAUAAUAAUACUUCAGACACAUGUUAAUCUGCAGAAAUGGAGAUUGUGGUGGAAGAAGUAUUCAGAUCCUUUACUUCA
Thunnus maccoyii (southern bluefin tuna) is the source of this 1087-nucleotide long non-coding RNA. RefSeq lists it as uncharacterized. NCBI's taxonomy places the organism in Eukaryota, Metazoa, Chordata, Actinopteri, Scombriformes, Scombridae. The record is from RefSeq and is a predicted model, not a curated record. The transcript has 3 exons.